GUUAGCAUAGCUUAGCUGCAAUAUCUUUGUUUCGCUCAAACUAUUGAAUGCACGAGAGUUUAUUAUAACCUACGAGUAUCUUUCACUUUUUGGUCAUAGCACCACUACUUGAACGCUUACUCUUACUAUUCUUCUCAAGUUCUACCUCUUUUGAAGUCACAACUAUUCUUGAAUUUAUCACAACUAUUCUUGAAUGUACGAAAGUAAACAGCUAUAAACUAAUUUCAUUUUCUUUAAAUCAUACUUUGGGGAGAGGAUCUUUGAACCUUAUUUGAGCUCCUCUUCCUCUUUAUAGACAAAGAAAGGAAAAGGAGAACUCCUUUUUUUUCAAUCUAGGUCCAGCCUCACUUGCAUUCAGUUAUCAAUUUUCAUUUACAUACUUAUGUGCAAUAUCCAACACAUAUUAAAGCACUUAGCGAAAUAUCCAUCUUUCUUGGGGCAUUGGUUGUGCUAUCAGAAACAGACCACUGUAUUACUUGAUGUGUUACUGAGAUCACCUAUGCAAUACUACUUGCUAAACCAUCAAAACAAGAAAGUACAAUAAUUCAAAGUAAAGGAAAACUUUUGCUCUAAUUGAGACCACUAAAUUCAAUUUUGUCAAUGAGAAAAUUUGGCAAGAUAGUGUACAGAGCUCAGACAAGAGGGGUUGCUCUAAUGGUAAGCAACCCCCACUUCCAACCGAGAGGUUGUGAGUUNNNNNNNNNNNNNNNNNNNNNNNNNNNNCUUCCAACCGAGAGGUUGUGAGUUCGAGUCUCCCCAAGAGCAAGGUGGGAAGUUCUUGGAGGGAAGGAUGCCGGGGGUCUAUUUAGAAACAGCCUCUCCACCCAAGGGGUAAGGUUUGCGUAUAUACUACCCUCCCCAGACCCCACUAAGUGGGAUUAUACUGGGUUGUUGUUGUUGUUGUAGUGUACGGAGCUCAAUGUGGAGUGAUGUAUCACUCCCUAAAUAAUGGUUGCCCCAUUGCCUGUUAAAAGAGCUAGUUUCUCUCUGCUACUUGUGAUGGACCAAAUGUGGGUACAGUCCCUUUAUAUGCUCUGGCAUAAAGUCAUGCCUUGUCAAAAUUCCAACUAUUGGAUCCCUC
Molecule: long non-coding RNA, 1081 nt
Filed under: Nicotiana benthamiana
Lineage: Eukaryota; Viridiplantae; Streptophyta; Magnoliopsida; Solanales; Solanaceae
Description: long non-coding RNA (NBEN_LNC041738)
Source: RNAcentral